GACGAACGCUGGCGGCGUGCUUAACACAUGCAAGUCGAACGGAAAGGCCCUGCUUUUGUGGGGUGCUCGAGUGGCGAACGGGUGAGUAACACGUGAGUAACCUGCCCUUGACUUUGGGAUAACUUCAGGAAACUGGGGCUAAUACCGGAUAGGAGCUCCUGCUGCAUUGUGGGGGUUGGAAAGUUUCGGCGGUUGGGGAUGGAUUCGCGGCUUAUCAGCUUGUUGGUGGGGUAGUGGCUUACCAAGGCUUUGACGGGUAGCCGGCAUGAGAGGGUGACCGGCCACAUUGGGACUGAGAUACGGACCAGACUCCUACGGGAGGCAGCAGUGGGGAAUGUUGCACAAUGGGAGGAAGCCUGAUGCAGAAACGCCGCGUGCGGGAUGACGGCCUUCGGGUUGUAAACCGCUUUCGCCUGUGACGAAGCGUGAGUGACGGUAAUGGGUAAAGAAGCACCGGCUAACUACGUG
This 468-nucleotide ribosomal RNA is filed under the name uncultured bacterium. RNAcentral describes it as "partial 16S ribosomal RNA". It matches the Rfam family "Bacterial small subunit ribosomal RNA", at positions 28 to 507 of the family's 1533-position model. The record is from RNAcentral.